CAAGCAGCAACUUCUUCACAGUUGGCCUACAAAUGCUUUCUAAAGAUCAAAAAUCCCCUGUGUUCUGAAAAUGGAAGAGAAAAUAUGCUUCUUUUGGGGGCUAUUUGAUAUUCUGCUAAUGCUUCGGAGAUGGAUGACACCAGAGAAGCGUUCUCAUCUCAGGACACAGUGCUUGGUGUUGCACCCAGAUUGAAUUAAAUGGUGCAAUGGAUGGGUGAAUAGGAGAGGAACUCAACCUGUCUCUGAAAACAGUUUUCUGCUUGCCUUGGUGCUGACACCUCUACUGCUCAGAUAUCAUUGAUAACAGAUUUUGACUACUUCUCUCCUUCUUGGACCAGUGUUGUGCGAUUUUUAUCAUUCACACUUGCAGAAAUAGUAUCACAGAAAGUUUCCAAAUCGUGUUUCCUAACAAGACACUUGAAGUAUCAAUCUCUGCAUCACCAUUAAUAAAAACAAAACAAAAUGAAAGGAUGUCUUUUUAUGCAUAAAGAACUGACCAUUAA
Molecule: long non-coding RNA, 503 nt
Organism: Gallus gallus (chicken)
Lineage: Eukaryota; Metazoa; Chordata; Aves; Galliformes; Phasianidae
Exons: 2
Source: RefSeq, a predicted model, not a curated record